GACGAACGCUGGCGGCGUGCUUAACACAUGCAAGUCGAACGGAAAGGCCCUGCUUUUGUGGGGUGCUCGAGUGGCGAACGGGUGAGUAACACGUGAGUAACCUGCCCUUGACUUUGGGAUAACUUCAGGAAACUGGGGCUAAUACCGGAUAGGAGCUCCUGCUGCAUGGUGGGGGUUGGAAAGUUUCGGCGGUUGGGGAUGGACUCGCGGCUUAUCAGCUUGUUGGUGGGGUAGUGGCUUACCAAGGCUUUGACGGGUAGCCGGCCUGAGAGGGUGACCGGCAACAUUGGGACUGAGAGCGGGCCCAGCCCCCGAGGGGGGGAAGCAGGGGGGAUUAUUGCAAAAGGGGGGGAGGCGGGAUGCAGCCCCGCCGGGUGCGGGAUGCCGGCUUUGGGUUUGUAAACCGCUUUCGCCGGUGACGAAGCGUGAGGGAGGGUAAUGGGUAAAGAGGCCCGGGCUAACUACGUG
This 468-nucleotide ribosomal RNA is filed under the name uncultured bacterium. RNAcentral's name for it is "partial 16S ribosomal RNA". It matches the Rfam family "Bacterial small subunit ribosomal RNA", at positions 28 to 507 of the family's 1533-position model. The record is from RNAcentral.